This 253-nucleotide ribosomal RNA is filed under the name uncultured bacterium. RNAcentral describes it as "partial 16S ribosomal RNA". It matches the Rfam family "Bacterial small subunit ribosomal RNA", at positions 524 to 776 of the family's 1533-position model. The record is from RNAcentral.
UACGAAGGGGGCUAGCGUUGCUCGGAAUCACUGGGCGUAAAGCGCACGUAGGCGGGUCGUUAAGUCAGGGGUGAAAUCCUGGAGCUCAACUCCAGAACUGCCCUUGAUACUGGCGAUCUCGAGUUCGGGAGAGGUGAGUGGAACUGCGAGUGUAGAGGUGAAAUUCGUAGAUAUUCGCAAGAACACCAGUGGCGAAGGCGGCUCUCUGGGACGGUACUGACGCUGAGACGCGAAAGCGUGGGGAGCGAACAGG